UAGGGAAUCUUCCGCAAUGGACGCAAGUCUGACGGAGCAACGCCGCGUGAGUGAAGAAGGAUUUCGGUUCGUAAAACUCUGUUGUUAGAGAAGAACAGCGCAUAGAGUAACUGUUAUGCGUGUGACGGUAUCUAACCAGAAAGCCACGGCUAACUACGUGCCAGCAGCCGCGGUAAUACGUAGGUGGCAAGCGUUGUCCGGAUUUAUUGGGCGUAAAGCGAGCGCAGGCGGUCAAUUAAGUCUGAUGUGAAAGCCCCCGGCUCAACCGGGGAGGGUUAUUGGAAACUGGUUGACUUGAGUGCAGAAGAGGAGAGUGGACUUCCAUGUGUAGCGCUGAAAUACGUAGAUUUAUGGAGGAACACCAAUGGCGAAGGGGACUCUCUGGUCUGUAACUGACGCUGAGGCUCGAAAGCGUGGGUAGCAAACGGG
This 429-nucleotide ribosomal RNA is filed under the name Bacteroidota bacterium. RNAcentral's name for it is "Bacteroidetes bacterium partial 16S ribosomal RNA". It matches the Rfam family "Bacterial small subunit ribosomal RNA", at positions 355 to 776 of the family's 1533-position model. The record is from RNAcentral. Lineage: Bacteria; Pseudomonadati; Bacteroidota.